GAAGAAGGACGUCGUAAUCUGCGAUAAGCCUCGGGGAGCUGAUAAACGAGCUGUGAUCCGAGGAUUUCCGAAUGGGGAAACCCCGCCAGGCCCUUAGGGUGACCUGGUGACUCCCGCCUGAAUAUAUAGGGCGGGUAGAGGGAACGUGGGGAAGUCAAACAUCUCAGUACCC
Molecule: ribosomal RNA, 172 nt
Filed under: Agromyces sp. VKM Ac-1802
Lineage: Bacteria; Bacillati; Actinomycetota; Actinomycetes; Micrococcales; Microbacteriaceae
Description: partial 23S ribosomal RNA
Rfam family: Bacterial large subunit ribosomal RNA
Source: RNAcentral